Molecule: long non-coding RNA, 1114 nt
Filed under: Gossypium barbadense (sea-island cotton)
Lineage: Eukaryota; Viridiplantae; Streptophyta; Magnoliopsida; Malvales; Malvaceae
Description: long non-coding RNA (GBAR_LNC006228)
Source: RNAcentral
UAGUAUAGCAUUAAAGCCCCCCAUAAUCAGCCACGAAAAGGGAUCGUUAAGUAACACGAUUAUUAAAUCAUCCCAUAGAGAAUUUCUCUUUGCUCUGUCAGGACUACCAUAAACAAAAAAGAUAAGAAAGAAGUUAUUGGUAACACUGCCAAAAACUCGAAGGAGAAUGAACUGGGGAUGAUUAUGAAUGACACUAAUCUGAAUAGAUUCCUUUCAGCCCACCCAAAUUUCUCUUGAAAAUCCAAUAACCUCAAUACGGUGAGAAAAAUCAAAACCUAAUUUAUCAAUAAUUGAAUUUACUUUAUUAUCACUAAUUUUUUGUUCCAGUAGACACAAUAUCCGGCCUAUACUCGAUAUUAAAUUCACGGAAGACAUAGAGAAAUUUGUUGCUUGCAUAGCCUUGAAAAUUCCAAGAAAAUAUUGUUAAAAUUAAAUCCAUAUUAUCAAAAUAAUAAUAAAAUUAAGAUAAAACAAUUAGAUAUUACUGCUUAGAGCUUAUAAAACAAACCUGAAGUCUUUUCGCUGCAUUUGAACCAUUUAGGCCCAAUUCUUCGAUACUUUCUGUCGAAGUAGCCUUAGCCAACUUGGACAUAGAAACACAUAACAAAUAUUUAGAAAAAAUUUUAACCUUAAAAUUGCUCUAUUUCCCAUGUGGUUUUGUUAAUUUUUUUUUAAUAUCUUGAAAACUCUUUUCUUUCCCUCCCAUCAUUCUCCUCGAAUUCAUUGAUCUACCAGCCUCCAAAUCUGAAACUUUGGUCUCCUCCGACAAGGUGUUGUCGACUGGGACAGUGACUUUGAAAGAAGUUGUCAAGUGCUUAAUAGGGUUUAGCCCUCCAGUGGAGAUGGCGACUAGAACUUCCACUGGACUUAGCAUCGAAGAAGUUGGUUUGGUUGGGAGCUUUGGGACACUAUCACUGUCGACAUUAAAAAAGCCCGAUCUCGAGUCUGAAAUCUCACCCUCACUUGUUGGACAUUGAGUUCACUAACAGAAACCCCUGUAACAAAUGAUUGCCGCCGACUGAUAGCCUCAUUAACGUAACUUCGAAUGAAUAAAGUUUUCCUAGCCCUUGGCUAGGAGGACGACCUAAUAGCCUGGCCUGAUAAAUUAACCAAC